RNAcentral lists this transfer RNA (72 nucleotides) under Camelus bactrianus (Bactrian camel). It matches the Rfam family "tRNA". Rfam says of the family: Transfer RNA (tRNA) molecules are approximately 80 nucleotides in length. Their secondary structure includes four short double-helical elements and three loops (D, anti-codon, and T loops). The record is from Rfam by way of RNAcentral. Lineage: Eukaryota; Metazoa; Chordata; Mammalia; Artiodactyla; Camelidae. RNAcentral also lists the same sequence under 2 other names.
GAAGGUUUAGCUCAGUGGUAGAGCAUGUGCUUAGCAUGCACGAGGUCCUGGAUUCAAUCCCCAGUACCUCCA